This is an RNA transcript of Daucus carota subsp. sativus, 2760 nucleotides long. It is a transcript of the gene named putative pentatricopeptide repeat-containing protein At1g12700, mitochondrial, with no coding region annotated. NCBI's taxonomy places the organism in Eukaryota, Viridiplantae, Streptophyta, Magnoliopsida, Apiales, Apiaceae. The record is from RefSeq and is a predicted model, not a curated record. The transcript has 3 exons.
UGUUCGAAAAUGACAACUCUAGCAGAGAACACACAGACACUGUGAUUUACCUACUCUCAAGUCCAGGUGGUAAAGAUUUUAAUUUCAAUCUCUUGAUAUCUGAUUUCUGCGCAUUGAAUUUGUAGCCAUGUCUGCCGUUUUGUUCAAGAGAGGAGCUCAAACACUAACAACCACUCCAUUCCAUGCUCAUACUGUAUUUGUAAGCACCCCUUCUCUUUUUCAUUCUCAUUUUCUUCUUUUCUCUACUAAACCCCCCUUUAUUCCUUCUCCAUCUACCACAUAUCCCGAACUUAAACAAUUACUCUAUCAUAGAUCUAAGCUUGGUUUCGAUAAACUCGACGAUGCUCUUCUUCUGUUCGAUAAAAUGCUCCUUCUGAAAUCUAGCCUUUCUGUUGUGCAUUUCACACAACUGUUAACUGCCCUCGUUCGAAUGGAAGAGUAUUCUGUUGCCGUCUCCAUGUUUAGAGAAUUCCGUGUUUUAAGCAUUCCUGUUAAUAUUGUUACCUUUACUACUGCCAUCCAUUCCUGUUGUCACUUGAAUACGCUUGAUUAUGCCUUUUCGUUGCUUGCUGGAAUCAUCAAGAGUGGUUGGGUGCCCGAUGUCUUUACCUACAACACUCUCAUCAAGGGCCUUCUGUCUCAAGACAGGCCUUUGGAGGCUGAGCAUUUAUUUAGGAAGCUUAUCAGAUUUCGAGAAAUUCAGCCUGAUGUAGUUAUGCAUAGCACCAUCAUUGAUGGUCUCUGCAAAACUUCAAAUACCUCCAUGGCUCUCAAGUUGUUAAGAAAGAUGGAGGGAAUAGGUUGUAAACCUGAUGUGAUAACUUAUAACACGAUAAUCGAUUCUCUGUGCAAAGAAAGACGAGUCGAUCAUGCAUUGGAUCUUGUUUCUGAAAUGACCCACAAAGGCAUAUCACCAGAUGUUAUAACCUAUAACUGCUUACUUCAAGGUCUUUGCAGCUCAGGCCGAUGGGAGGACGUUGAGCGGUUAUUUAGUGAGAUGAGUGUUAGGAAGAUCUAUUCAAUUCUGCACACCUAUAAUAUAUUAGUUGAUGCACACUGCAAAGAAGGGAGGACAAAAGAUGCUCAAGAUGUUAUUGAAAUUAUGAUCCAGAAAGGUGUGCCUCCUAAUUCAAUCACAUACAACACACUAAUGGAUGGAUUUUGUUUAACAGGCAAAAUGGACAGGGCACUAGAGGUGCUGAAUACCAUGAGAAGUAAUGGGAUAGCGCCAGAUUGUUAUAGCUUUAACAUUCUGAUAAAUGGCUAUUGUAAGAGGCAGGAAGUAGACAAAGCCAUCAAUCUCCUCAGACAAAUGCCUGUUGAAGGUAUAAAAGCCGAUGUUCAAACCUACAACACCAUUAUACAUGGUCUCUUUCAGAUGGGUAGACAUAAUGAUGUGCGCAGCCUUUUACAUGAAAUGCUAAAAAAAGGUAAUAAACCAAAUAUCGUAACAUGUCGAAUUCUGUUGGAUGGCCUUUGCAAGAACCGAUACAUGGAUGAAGCAAUUUCCUUCUUUCGAAUGAUGGAAUGUAAAGGUAUAGUUCAUGAUAUUCAAAUACAUAAUAUCAUCAUCGAUGGUCUCUGCAAGAACAGAAAACUUGACGAGGCCAGAAAUAUUUUUGAUAAGUUUGCUUCAAAAGGUUUGCAACCCGAUGUCACAACACACAACAUAAUGAUCAGAGGAUUUUGUCUAGAAGGGUUAUUUGAGGAAGCAAAGAUAUUACUUUCUGAGAUGGAAACUAGUGGUUGUUUGCCUAACGAUGUGACUUACAACACGAUCAUCCGUGGAAGCCUUUUGAAUAAAAGAUACGAAGAAGCAAUUGUACUGAUUGAGAAAAUGCGAGCUCACAAUUUCUCAGCGGAUGCAUCGACCACAUCCAUGGUAGCAGAGCUAUUACCUAAAGAAGAUCAGGAAGAAGAGGAAGAACAGGACCCCGCCGUUCUUUCUUUCUGCAAAUGGUUUUUGCAAUAGAAAUGAAACAGUGAUGUUACGCUAUUUGGUUUGGAAAGAAAGCUGGCUUUCUGAAUAAUCUUUUAUUUCUCUGGUUCUAAUAAUUUAAUGUGGAAAAUUAAGGUCCGGUUUGUUAGAAAAAUGAUCUCGCUGACAGCUCGAGCACAUUCUUUAUUUGAGAAGAUUAGUCAAAUAGUUCUGAAGGUCUCUACAUCAAAUGCUGGAUAACUGAAGUGCAUCCCCGAGUCCCUCAUUUAUGCUUCAUGUUUGAUAUUGAGGACUGCUUACCAGAAGUGCAGAAGAAUGAUCAGAAAAGUAUGAAUUCAUCGUCUUUACUCCUGUCCCUAAAAUUUAAAAGCUAUAGGUAAUGGACCUAACUCUAUGUACUCAACAGAUUUCAUCAAGUGGCCCCUUAAAUGGUAAUAAGCAUUUCAAGUGACUUUUGCACAAUCUUACAGUUUGUUGCAUCCAGAUCUAUGUCGCUUGCACUAAUUUAGCAUCGAACUUCAAAUUGUCAUCAAACUUAACGGAUUUAUUGUAGCUGUACUGGUCAAUUGUACAGACAGUUGAGAGUACAUUGGCAUAGCUACGAUGGAUGUUGACAUACAUUGGCAUAGCUAUGAAGAAUCUUGACAACCAUAUUGACAAGAGCAAACUUGAUUAUUAAAAGUCCCAUCUUCCGGGCUCUGAAUGAGCAGCAACAGAACCACCCAGAUCAAUAAUAUUUAUCUUAAAGAGAUAAAUCAAUUUAGUGUCACCUAUAAUAUACUUAUGGAUAGAUCUGAAAGUCAAUGUGAAAAUUAUAAAAA